This is a non-coding RNA of Lactuca sativa (garden lettuce), 2155 nucleotides long. The record is from RefSeq and is a predicted model, not a curated record. NCBI's taxonomy places the organism in Eukaryota, Viridiplantae, Streptophyta, Magnoliopsida, Asterales, Asteraceae.
UUGUUUUUAGGGUAAAACACGUUCACCAAUCAGCCGUAGGUUCAAGAACUGUUGUCGCAGGUUUCUAUGCGUUCGUGAUGUUUCUUGCCUUUCAGAUUCUCCACACGAGAAAACUGGAACAGCAGCGAAUCACACGAGAACUCUGAGCAAUUUCACCACACGAGAGCUUCAAGCAAUCGCUGAUUUCAUCAACACAGAAAUCUUCGAUUUCGUCACUAUAGAUGCGAACAGCUGAGGAGAAUAGAUGGCAGGAAAGUUGUCUCUUCGGUCUCCAGCCGAAUAGAAAGACAGAAAAACUUGCUGACUGUUUCGAUUUUGAUUUCUAUUUAGUGAUAGAACUUCUGCUGUCGCGACUCUACCUUCUGUCACAAGGCUUAUUUCACUUGCUGCACAGGUUCUCUUCACAGAUUCUUUACACUCCCAAAUUCACUGGCCCUGAUACCAAUUAAAGGGUAAUCAAGGAAAAGAGAAGCAGCCAGGCUAGAAGCAUGUUGCACUAUUCUUGGAGUGAAAUUGAACAAUAUAUAGACGACAAAGAGCAUAUAUAGACGACAAAGAGGAUGAUACUUGAACAUGAAGAAGAUGAAUAAUAACCCUUAUCCAAAGGGUAACCAGGUUACCCCUUCACUUUGCCAAUAAGGAUGUUUUUUAACGUACAAAAAUUAAGUUCCCUAGACUACAAACAAAAACAUUAGGGACGUUUUAAAACAGAUGCAAAAGAUGUAGAGCUAAAAUGACAUUAACCCAACAAAAAAUUAAUACUAUAUACUCAAAAUUUAAAUAUCCAACCAAAAUAAAUGGACAAUUAAGGUCAUAUAAACUACUUUAUACACAUAGAACUCGAUGAAUGAACAGUAGGUGUGAGGCCAUGACAUAAAAAGUCACUUAAAAAAACAUAGUAAAAAAAUACAAUAAAAAAUACAAAAACGAAUAAAAACGGAAGGCUAAGAGAGAUUCACAAAAGAUGACAAUAUGAACCUUUUCCAAGGCAAUCUCAAAAGUCAAACAUAUUUAAGGAAAGUGGCAAUCUCAAAAGUCAAACCUUUUCCAAGGCAAUCUCAAAUGAACCAUUUCCAGACGUGGCUUGGCCAAAGUGAUCACAAAUCAUUUUUGUGCCGCAUGAUGUGGCAAGUACUAGGCUACGAUGUGGCGUCAUCUUAAGGCAAUACCCUAAUUUUUCGAGCUUUAGGCCAUAUUUAAGGAAAAUGGGAGCUAAGUUGUGCAUGCCCUCAACUUCCAACACCUUCCUUUCUAACCCUGAUCAGAUCUAGCCUCCAUUAUUGAGUCUUUGAGGUUCUUGUUGGUGUUUUUGGCAUCUUGAAGAAGAAGGAAGAUCCCUUGGCACAUAGAUUUGACUUUCAAGCCUCACCAUCAUUCUCUAACACAUUUAUGGACCAUUGUAAGUGUCCAAGAUCCAAGCUUUAUGUCGCAUGCUUCUAGAUCUAGGUUCCUUGUCCCUUUUUCUCCAUGUUGUGGAAGUUUGAGGAAUGGAUUCCAUAAAGUUGGCAACUUUAUGGAUCAUUGAGGUCCUUUUUGGGGUUAUAUGUUCCAGAUCUAGAGUCUUAUGGGGUAUUUGGUCUCAUACAGAAGCUUGAGUUCAUUUCUUCCAUAUUUUAUCCUAGUUUGUAAGAGACAUGCAUGUCUAUAAAGCAAUGGUUUUAUAAUGAUUUGGGCGUAGGAAAUCCUUGUGGAAGUUAUGGACUUAUGUCUUUGGUGAUUAAGUGCUUAAUAGAUUAGUUCAUGCCUUAAGUUGUCAUUUAGGAUCUAGGUUUAGAGAUCUUGUCUUAUUGGCAUGUAUUAAUGAAUAAAGUUGGAAACUUUAUCCAUCAAGACCUUGGGAAGGACUAGAUAUGAGCUUUGGAACUCUUAGAGUGGAAGGAAAACGAAUUUAGUCAUUAAGUUGUUACGACCCAAUUUCAACGACGUGGCGACCGGGGGAUGCUCAACUAUUUUGUCGUUAUUUUGCCAUGAUGUGGCCAAUAAGAGGCCAUGACGUGGAGACUCACUGAAGUUGACUUUAACCGUUGCCUUUUUUACUUUGUUACCUUUUGGCCAUUUGGCUAGUUUUAGAAGGUGAACUAAGGGUUUACAUUGUAUGGUUUAUUAGGGGUAUAUAACACUCGAUUUAUUAACUAUGAGAGCUAUUAGUUGUUGA